RNAcentral lists this ribosomal RNA (497 nucleotides) under uncultured bacterium. RNAcentral's name for it is "partial 16S ribosomal RNA". It matches the Rfam family "Bacterial small subunit ribosomal RNA", at positions 28 to 507 of the family's 1533-position model. The record is from RNAcentral.
GAUGAACGCUGGCGGCGUGCCUAAUACAUGCAAGUCGAGCGAACAGACGAGGAGCUUGCUCCUCUGACGUUAGCGGCGGACGGGUGAGUAACACGUGGAUAACCUACCUAUAAGACUGGGAUAACUUCGGGAAACCGGAGCUAAUACCGGAUAAUAUAUUGAACCGCAUGGUUCAAUAGUGAAAGACGGUUUUGCUGUCACUUAUAGAUGGAUCCGCGCCGCAUUAGCUAGUUGGUAAGGUAACGGCUUACCAAGGCAACGAUGCGUAGCCGACCUGAGAGGGUGAUCGGCCACACUGGAACUGAGACACGUUCCAGACUCCUACGGGAGGCAGCAGUGGGGAAUCUUCCGCAAUGGGCGAAAGCUUGACGGAGCAACGCCGCGUGAGUGAUGAAGGUCUUCGGAUCGUAAAACUCUGUUAUUAGGGAAGAACAAAUGUGUAAGUAACUAUGCACGUCUUGACGGUACCUAAUCAGAAAGCCACGGCUAACUACGUG